This is a long non-coding RNA of Oncorhynchus tshawytscha (Chinook salmon), 477 nucleotides long. The record is from Ensembl. Lineage: Eukaryota; Metazoa; Chordata; Actinopteri; Salmoniformes; Salmonidae.
GUAGGUCCCCACUAUGUGUUUACCACUAUGACAGGGUAGGUACCCUCUAUAUGUGUUUACCACUAUGACAGGGUAGGUCCCCACUGUAUGUGUUUACCACUAUGACUGGGUAGGUCCCCACUGUAUGUGUUUACCACUAUGACAGGGUAGGUCCCCACUAUGUGUUAACCACUAUGACAGGGUAGGUCCCCACUAUGUGUUUACCACUAUGACAGGGUAGGUCCCCACUAUGUGUUUACCACUAUGACAGGGUAGGUCCCCACUAUGUGUUAACCACUAUGACAGGGUAGAUCCCCACUAUGUGUUAACCACUAUGACAGGGUAGAUCCCCACUAUGUGUUAACCACUAUGACAGGGUAGAUCCCCACUAUGUGUUAACCACUAUGACAGGGUAGGUCCCCACUGUAUGUGUUUACCACUAUGACAGGGUAGGUCCCCACUGUAUGUGUUUACCACUAUGACUGGGUAGGUCCCCAC